Molecule: long non-coding RNA, 1032 nt
Filed under: Gopherus evgoodei (Goodes thornscrub tortoise)
Lineage: Eukaryota; Metazoa; Chordata; Testudines; Testudinidae
Description: lncRNA (ENSGEVG00005013416.1)
Source: RNAcentral
CCCUAGCUGGUCUGAGAGUUUCUCAGGAGCCCAGGUCCCUCCGCGCCACAGCUGGGGAGAACGUGACCCUGAGCUGCACCUUCCAGAACAGAAACGGCAGCAGAGCCAAGGUCAUUUGGCUCAGGGGAUCCGGAGAGGAUCUGGAGCUGGAUUCUAACCAUCCCUUCUACCGCGGGCGGCUCCGUGUGUCCAGGAUGGACGAGCACAGACAGGGGAAGGCGACGCUGACCCUGGCUGAGCUGCAGGAGCGGGACUCUGGCCUCUAUCAGUGCUGCAUCAAACUCGACCGUGGGGAGACAGGGAUGGGAGGAGGCACCGAGCUGAGAGUGAUGGGGAGACACCAGAGUGCGUCCGGUGAGAGUCGGGGGCAGGGAAUGGGGCCUGUCCCCUCUAGGAGGUGUCAUCCCAGGAAUCUCCUAACCCCUCACUUCUCUUGUCUAUGGGGUCUAGGGGGACGUGAGCUCUGUCGGGACUCGGGGCCCCUCUUUUACCGAGCCGUCAUCUCCCUGGCGCUCGUCGUUCUCUUCUCCCUGGGAAUCGUCCUCAGCCUGCACCCUUGGAAAGGCGUCCCCGUGGAUCCCAUGGUGGGUGCUGGCUCCAAGGUGCCCCCGGCACCGGGACAGGUGUCUCUGAUUUAGCUGCUCAGGGGGCCGGUCACUGGCAGGAUUUUCCCAGCUCUGGUUCAGAAGCUGUCAGACUUCGCUGGACUCUGAGCCACCGCCAGGGGCUUCUCUGCUCUCCUCUGCUUCUGUCUGUGGGUCUGGCCGGUACAGCUUGGGUAUGAGAAGAACAGUAAAGAAAAGGAAAUAUUUCUCCAGAGUCAUUCCUCAGGGGACGAUAUUUUUCCAUUUAGAAAUCAACAUUGAACACUGUAACAGAGUCAGCCACCAGAAAACCCGAAUUCGAGAGAAAACCUACCUGGUUUGUACAGGACAAAACUGUCUGGAGCAGGCUUGAUUGGUUAGAAGGAAUUUGCCGCUUGAAAGAGAGACAUGUUGCAAAAAAUAAAUAUAUUUCAAUGUGUGGAAAUAA